RNAcentral lists this ribosomal RNA (564 nucleotides) under uncultured Alphaproteobacteria bacterium. RNAcentral's name for it is "bacterial SSU rRNA". It matches the Rfam family "Bacterial small subunit ribosomal RNA", at positions 338 to 917 of the family's 1533-position model. Lineage: Bacteria; Pseudomonadati; Pseudomonadota; Alphaproteobacteria. The record is from RNAcentral.
UCUACGGGAGGCAGCAGUGGGGAAUAUUGGGCAAUGGGCGCAAGCCUGACCCAGCUAUGCCGCAUGAGUGAUGACGGUUUUCGGAUUGUAAAGCUCUUUCGUCAGGGAAGAAUUAAUGACGGUACCUGAAGAAGAAGUCCCGGCUAACUCCGUGCCAGCAGCCGCGGUAAUACGGAGGGGGCGAACGUUGUUCGGAUUUACUGGGCGUAAAGGGAUCGUAGGCGGCCAUUCAAGUCAGAUGUGAAAGCCCAGGGCUCAACCUUGGAACUGCAUUUGAAACUGGGUGGCUAGAGUCAUGGAGAGGAUGGCGGAAUUGCAAGUGUAGAGGUGGAAUUCGUAGAUAUUUGCAGGAACACCAGAAGAGAAGUCGGCUAUCUGGCCAUUGACUGACGCUGAGGGUCGAAAGCGUGGGGAGCAAACAGGAUUAGAUACCCUGGUAGUCCACGCCGUAAACGAUGAGUGCUAGCUGUCGGAAUCUUUAAGGUUUCGGUGGCAAAGCUAACGCAUUAAGCACUCCGCCUGGGGAGUACGGUCGCAAGAUUAAAACUCAAAGGAAUUGACGGA